GCUAAUCAGAAGCCUCCGAGUCUACAAUGCGAGAAACAGGAGAUGGAUUGUGCGGACACCAAGGCUGUGUCUGCAAGCCAGUGUGAGAGGCACUGGCAGCGAGGAAGAUGGAGAGAAGAUCACGUGUCGGCAGGCAUUGAACGAGGUCGAGGGGGGUUGAGAAGGAGUGUGCGGUAGAGGUCGCAGACUUGGUGGGAUUGUGAGAUGGGAAGAGCUGCCAAUCUCCAUGCAGUUUCGUUGUGAAAUCCUUGUCGGUACAUUUCCACGACGAAGUCGCGACUGGGCAGGCGCGUGGAGGGUGGCGGUGGAGUUCUGUAGACCCGCCCUCCAGCACGGGAAGUCUGUGCAAUCAGAACUUCCAUCGUACAUGUUUGCUUCAUGCAAGUCAGCCCAACGCUGGUCUGCGCAACGUUAGUCUGCAGAACCGCCAUGUCGGCACAGCGCCUGUGUGCACAACGCUUCUAAAAAGCCCGUGAGUCUAGAAUGCGAGCAACAGGGACAGUGGUAUGCAUGCACCAAGGCGGUGUCGGGAAGCCAGUUUGAGAGGCGUAGUCAGCGACGGAGACAGAGCGAUGGUCGCGCGUCGGCAGACAUUCAACUGGGUGGAAGGGGGGCGUGAUGGAGUCUAUGAUAGAGCUGGAUGACAUGGUGGGUUCCAGAGAGAAUCUUUGGGGUGGCAUGGCUGGACUCGACUACGGCAGUAGAAGCCGUAGCAGCAGCAAUCUGCGACGCUGACGUGUGGUUGUCAGGCCAUCGAUUGUUGGAAAAGGUCAUGCAGUUCCGUUGCGGACUUUUUGUCGGUAGUUUGCCACGACGACAAUGCGAAUGGGCAGCCGCAUCGAGGUUGACGUUGCAGUCCUGCAGUCUCUCUCCUGCUCACAAUGUCUGCACUAUCAGAAGCUCCGUUGCUACCAGAUCUAGUUCUAAGAUCAUGGUUGUUACCUCAAAUAUGAAGUUAACAAUACCAAGAUUGUUAACUUGUUAACAUACUUGUUGCAUAGAUAAUAGAUAAUGUUUUGGAUUUAGACGUUGCUCUAUGUUGUAUUUGAAUUGCUUUAUUACACAACAGAAUCUAGCUGCUUUUAUUUUCCAAAUAUAUAUUUCAUACAGAAGAAAAUAAAUAUAAUUGCUCAGAAUUUUUAUAAUUCAAAGCUAAUUUCUUAAAAAUUUGGUCUAGUUAAUAGAACAAAAAAUAAGAAGAAAACAAAAGAAUUAGUAUAAUUACUACUUUGGCUGUUACUUUCCUAAUAUUUUUAAUAAUCCUAAAAUAACACUCAUGUGUUUAGACUUGUUAUUUUGAUUCAAACACAAAGUUGUUGGAUAAUGGAACUUUAAAAUUAGAAGAUAUUAGUAAUACUUGACAUCAUCUUAUAUUAUGGUUAAUGUCAAAUUCAAAGUGCCAAAUUUAUUUUCGGUGGUUCAUUUUUUGAUAUACAAAUUUAGAUAUUGGUUGCAAUUAAAAAUUAAACCAUUGAUAGUUUCUUCUAUACAUUUAAAUUAGUUUUAAUACAUUCAAAAUUUGUCAAUAAUAGAAAUAAAAGAAUUAAAGUAAAUAAAAUUUCCUUAAAUCAUUAAUGAAUCUAAAAUAAUUUUGUAGAUAUUUUAUUCAUUAAUAU
RNAcentral lists this long non-coding RNA (1616 nucleotides) under Physcomitrium patens. RNAcentral's name for it is "long non-coding RNA (PPAT_LNC005128)". The record is from RNAcentral. Lineage: Eukaryota; Viridiplantae; Streptophyta; Bryopsida; Funariales; Funariaceae.